GAGUUUGAUCCUGGCUCAGAUUGAACGCUGGCGGAAUGCUUUACACAUGCAAGUCGAGCGGCAGCGCGGGGCAACCUGGCGGCGAGCGGCGAACGGGUGAGUAAUGCAUCGGAACAUGUCCUGUCGUGGGGGAUAGCCCGGCGAAAGCCGGAUUAAUACCGCAUACGUCCGAGAGGAGAAAGUGGGGGACCGCAAGGCCUCACGCGAUUGGGUUGGCCGAUGUCCGAUUAGCUAGUUGGUGGGGUAAAGGCCCACCAAGGCGAUGAUCGGUAGCUGGUCUGAGAGGAUGAUCAGCCACACUGGGACUGAGACACGGCCCAGACUCCUACGGGAGGCAGCAGUGGGGAAUUUUGGACAAUGGGGGCAACCCUGAUCCAGCCAUUCCGCGUGAGUGAAGAAGGCC
This 403-nucleotide ribosomal RNA is filed under the name uncultured beta proteobacterium. RNAcentral's name for it is "bacterial SSU rRNA". It matches the Rfam family "Bacterial small subunit ribosomal RNA", at positions 9 to 416 of the family's 1533-position model. Lineage: Bacteria; Pseudomonadati; Pseudomonadota; Betaproteobacteria. The record is from RNAcentral.